AACGAACGCUGGCGGCGUGCUUAACACAUGCAAGUCGAACGCGAAAGGGGCUUCGGUCCCGAGUAGAGUGGCGCACGGGUGAGUAACGCGUAGAUAACCUGUCCUGGUGUCUGGAAUAACGUCUCGAAAGGGGCACUAAUACCGGAUAUUCUUGCUUUCUUUAAGGUAUGCAAGGAAAGGUGGCCUCUGGAACAAGCUACUGCACGAGGAGGGGUCUGCGUACCAUUAGCUAGUAGGUGGGGUAAUGGCCUACCUAGGCGACGAUGGUUAGCGGGUCUGAGAGGAUGAUCCGCCACACUGGCACUGGAAUACGGGCCAGACUCCUACGGGAGGCAGCAGUGAGGAAUAUUGCGCAAUGGGGGCAACCCUGACGCAGCGACGCCGCGUGAGUGAGGAAGGCCUUCGGGUCGUAAAGCUCUGUCAAGAGGGAAGAAAUGCAUGGUGGUUAAUAUCUGUCAUGUUUGACGGUACCUCUAAAGGAAGCACCGGCUAACUCCGUGCCAGCAGCCGCGGUAAUACGGAGGGUGCAAGCGUUGUUCGGAAUCACUGGGCGUAAAGGGCGCGCAGGCGGCCUGAUCAGUCAGAUGUGAAAGCCCACGGCUUAACCGUGGAAGUGCAUUUGAAACUGUCAGGCUUGAGUACCAGAGGGGAAAGUGGAAUUCCCGGUGUAGAGGUGAAAUUCGUAGAUAUCGGGAGGAAUACCGGUGGCGAAAGCGACUUUCUGGCUGGAUACUGACGCUGAGCGCGAAAGCGUGGGGAGCAAACA
Molecule: ribosomal RNA, 766 nt
Filed under: bacterium enrichment culture clone B3-22
Lineage: Bacteria
Description: bacterial SSU rRNA
Rfam family: Bacterial small subunit ribosomal RNA
Source: RNAcentral